RNAcentral lists this unclassified non-coding RNA (346 nucleotides) under soil metagenome. Its description in RNAcentral is "partial contains 5.8S ribosomal RNA, internal transcribed spacer 2, and large subunit ribosomal RNA". The stretch from base 1 to 119 matches the Rfam family "5.8S ribosomal RNA", at positions 35 to 154 of the family's 154-position model. The record is from RNAcentral.
GAUGAAGAACGCAGCGAAAUGCGAUACGUAAUGUGAAUUGCAAAUUCAGUGAAUCAUCGAGUCUUUGAACGCACAUUGCGCCCCCUGGUAUUCCGGGGGGCAUGCCUGUCCGAGCGUCAUUGCUGCCCUCAAGCACGGCUUGUGUGUUGGGCCCCGUCCUCCGAUCCCGGGGGACGGGCCCGAAAGGCAGCGGCGGCACCGCGUCCGGUCCUCGAGCGUAUGGGGCUUUGUCACCCGCUCUGUAGGCCCGGCCGGCGCUUGCCGAUCAACCCAAAUUUUUUAUCCAGGUUGACCUCGGAUCAGGUAGGGAUACCCGCUGAACUUAAGAAUAUCAAUAAGCGGAGGA